Molecule: ribosomal RNA, 253 nt
Filed under: uncultured bacterium
Lineage: Bacteria
Description: partial 16S ribosomal RNA
Rfam family: Bacterial small subunit ribosomal RNA
Source: RNAcentral
UACGUAGGGCGCAAGCGUUAUCCGGAAUUAUUGGGCGUAAAGAGCUCGUAGGCGGUUUGUCGCGUCUGCUGUGAAAACCCGAGGCUCAACCUCGGGCCUGCAGUGGGUACGGGCAGACUAGAGUGCGGUAGGGGAGAAUGGAAUUCCUGGUGUAGCGGUGGAAUGCGCAGAUAUCAGGAGGAACACCGAUGGCGAAGGCAGUUCUCUGGGCCGUAACUGACGCUGAGGAGCGAAAGCGUGGGGAGCGAACAGG